CUUAAGUACCAAAGGGGGUUCAUUUUCAAUGGUUUUAGACCCAACUCUCAACGGUGAAAAUAUGCGAUUCUGACUAACAUUUUUUAUCGGAUUCGUAUUUGCUCACUUUUUAUCCAUUUGGCAUAAAGAAGAUAUCAUUCAACAGCUAAAAGCACGAUCUUUCCGAAUGUGAAAAAUCUCGUUCAUACGCAGAGUAAUUCAGAUACAAUAGCGCGCUGAAGUUCGAUUACCUUUUUUUU
RNAcentral lists this long non-coding RNA (239 nucleotides) under Paramuricea clavata. The record is from RNAcentral. Lineage: Eukaryota; Metazoa; Cnidaria; Anthozoa; Malacalcyonacea; Plexauridae.